Molecule: ribosomal RNA, 465 nt
Filed under: uncultured bacterium
Lineage: Bacteria
Description: bacterial SSU rRNA
Rfam family: Bacterial small subunit ribosomal RNA
Source: RNAcentral
ACCAGACUCCUACGGGAGGCAGCAGUGAGGCCUCUUGGUCAAUGGGCGGCCUCCUGAACCAGCCCUGCCGCGUGCCGGCCGACGGCUCUACGAGUUGUAACCUUCUUUUGUACCGGGGUACAAUGCCUUCCGCGUAGGGUUUUGAAAGUACGGUACGAAUAAGGAUCGGCUAACUCCGUGCCAGCAGCCGCGGUAAUACGGAGGAUCCGAGCGUUAUCCGGAUUCAUUGGGUUUAAAGGGUGCGUAGGUUGUUUUAUAAGUUAGCGGUGAAAUACCGAUGCUCAACAGCGGGGCUGCCGCUAAUACUGUAGGACUAGAGAUCGGAUGCAGCAGGCGGAAUGUGUAGUGUAGCGGUGAAAUGCAUAGAUAUUACACAGAACACCGAUUGCGAAGGCAGCUUGCUAGGCCGGAUCUGACACUGAUGCACGAAAGCGUGGGGAUCGAACAGGAUUAGAUACCCUCGUA